GACGAACGCUGGCGGCGUGCUUAACACAUGCAAGUCGAACGGAAAGGCCCUGCUUUUGUGGGGUGCUCGAGUGGCGAACGGGUGAGUAACACGUGAGUAACCUGCCCUUGACUUUGGGAUAACUUCAGGAAACUGGGGCUAAUACCGGAUAGGAGCUCCUGCUGCAUGGUGGGGGUUGGAAAGUUUCGGCGGUUGGGGCUGGACUCGCGGCUUAUCAGCUGGUUGGUGAAGUAGUGGCUUACCAAGGCUUUGACGGGUAGCCGGCCUGGGAGGGUGACCGGCGACCUGGGGACUGAGAGACGGCCCAGUCUCCUACGGGAGGCAGCAGUCGGGAAUAUUGCACAAUGGGCGGAAGCCUGAUGCAGCAACGCCGCGUGCGGGAUGACGGCCUUCGGGUUGUGAACCGCUUUCGCCUGUGACGAAGCGUGAGUGACGGUAAUGGGUCAAGAAGCACCGGCUAACUACGUG
Molecule: ribosomal RNA, 468 nt
Filed under: uncultured bacterium
Lineage: Bacteria
Description: partial 16S ribosomal RNA
Rfam family: Bacterial small subunit ribosomal RNA
Source: RNAcentral